Molecule: long non-coding RNA, 1312 nt
Organism: Vicia villosa (hairy vetch)
Lineage: Eukaryota; Viridiplantae; Streptophyta; Magnoliopsida; Fabales; Fabaceae
Exons: 6
Source: RefSeq, a predicted model, not a curated record
UCCCAUACAAAACCUCAAUCUCCAUGAGAAGCUUCUACCGCUUCACGCUUUCACAUACCAACCUCGAUUCCUCAACAAUUCAUUAAUUUCCAUUUUUCAAAACCUGAUUCAUGAAUUCAUCCAUAAUUUCAGAUGCUUCUCACAGCCGAAUUGCAUUUAUUUUCAUCAAUGAUUUAUAUUUUCCAACUAAUGAUUUACGUUUUAGGGUUUUUCUUCUAUUCAAGAGAAAGUGCUUCCAAUCCAAUUCAAAUUUACUACUUCCAACCAUGGAGAAAAAAAUAUUCAUUCAAGAAUCUUCAUAGCAGAUAACAUUACGGUCACAAGAAGAAGGUGCAUCUUUGGGUUGCAAUUAAAUUGGCACAUAACUUGCAGUUGCUUCUGUUGAUCAAACUGCUCGAAUCUGAUUGUUCCAUUGUUGCUUGGAGAAUGGAGCUGAUGUUAAUUCAAAAAAUUAUUCUCGCCAGAUGCUAAAGUUGGGAACUCUCCUUAGCAACCUCAACCUAAUAGUUACAUAUCUAAAGCUGCUUCAGAGAGUAAAUUUAAUUUCAAGCUUUAGCUUUAUGAAUAUCGCAAAAUAAUUGAGGUCUACUUUGAUAUUUCUUGGAAAUUUGUAUUUCUGUUAACAAUAUUGGCUUAAAAGCUCCAGUUUGGAAUUUCUGUCAUUGUUUCACUUUCUUUUUGGUGAUAAAGCGCAAGAAGUAGCAGAGCUGCGCGAGAAAGGAGGUACUUUGAAAGUUCCUCUACAAUUUGCCAAUGUAUCAAGGUCUGAUUUACAAAGUUCAAUGGAUGGAUGUUCUGCUUCCAUUCAUGAAUACAAAAUCCCGCCUAAAGCUCUUCUCAGAUUUCAUUCCUAUUGUCAUGUUUACUUUGGUGCUUUCCAUUCGGUCAUUGCUGAUACACAUGUUCACAUCAGUCUACAAAAUAUUUAUGAAUGAGCUCUUAUGUCUCUAGCGAAUCAGCUCUUAUGUCUCUAAAAUAUAUUUAUGAGAUUCCACUGGUUUGUUCAGACAUGUCUAAAUAAUUAUUUAAAUUUGGCAUUUAAAUCCUUAUAGCACUUUAACCUUGGUGAGUUUUAACACACGUCGUCGUUCCUGAUGGCAGCUGAUGCAUUCAUGUUAUAUUACCACCACUAUAAUGAAAAAGCAUCGACCUAUUCCUCUAGCUUUGGCAUAUUGCACUCGGUAGUUUGAAGGCAUGUCUGCCACAAGAGAAUCAUUUGCAGCACUUAAAAAACUAAGAGAGGGCAAUUUUGAUUCUUCUUUACCCAGGACAUCCAAAGUGAUUCUUCCCAAAUACUACAUGGUGUUUCUGA